UACGAAGGGGGCUAGCGUUGCUCGGAAUCACUGGGCGUAAAGCGCACGUAGGCGGGUUGCUAAGUCAGGGGUGAAAUCCUGGAGCUCAACUCCAGAACUGCCUUUGAUACUGGCGACCUUGAGUUCGGGAGAGGUGAGUGGAACUGCGAGUGUAGAGGUGAAAUUCGUAGAUAUUCGCAAGAACACCAGUGGCGAAGGCGGCUCACUGGCCCGAAACUGACGCUGAGGCACGAAAGCGUGGGGAGCAAACAGG
Molecule: ribosomal RNA, 253 nt
Filed under: uncultured bacterium
Lineage: Bacteria
Description: partial 16S ribosomal RNA
Rfam family: Bacterial small subunit ribosomal RNA
Source: RNAcentral